GACGAACCGUGCGAACGUUGUUCGGAAUCACUGGGCUUAAAGGGCGCGUAGGCGGGCGGCCGCGUCCGGGGUGAAAUCCCACGGCUCAACCGUGGAACGGCCUCGGAUACGGGCGGCCUCGAGGGGGGUAGGGGCGUGCGGAACUCUGGGUGGAGCGGUGAAAUGCGUUGAUAUCCAGAGGAACUCCGGUGGCGAAGGCGGCACGCUGGACCCCUUCUGACGCUGAGGCGCGAAAGCCAGGGGAGCGAACGGG
This 253-nucleotide ribosomal RNA is filed under the name uncultured bacterium. Its description in RNAcentral is "partial 16S ribosomal RNA". It matches the Rfam family "Bacterial small subunit ribosomal RNA", at positions 524 to 776 of the family's 1533-position model. The record is from RNAcentral.